GACCUAACCCCUGCGAUCUAAAAGUCCCAGGAUAUGGUCCAAAAACCCCGCUAGAGAACAAAGGACUCCUCGUCAGAGUCACUCUAGCGGGUCAUACCUGGAAACGGGGAUGGGUGGAGCCGAAAGGUUCCAUC
RNAcentral lists this small RNA (134 nucleotides) under unclassified sequences. RNAcentral's name for it is "LOOT RNA". It matches the Rfam family "LOOT RNA". Rfam says of the family: Latescibacteria, OD1/Parcubacteria, OP11, TM7. Lineage (Microgenomates, aka OP11) The record is from Rfam by way of RNAcentral.